UAAUUCUUGUGCUGUAUUAACUCUAGGCUGCUGACACGGAUUCCGGGGUUCGGCCGCGGAAGCGGGCGCCGGGCAAGCGCUCCGCCGGAUGCGCGCGCAGCCUGCACUCCUGGCCUCGAGCAGCCCGCCGCGGCCGCCAUCGCCAGGCUGUCCCGGCCCUGGCCGUGUCUGGGAACAAUAAAGCUCUUGUUGUCGGAGGUCGGGCGAGCCUUUUCUCCAGUCGUCCUUCUUCCUUGGGCUCCGCUCCCAGUGCAUGGAGAAGCAGGGCAGGAUGGACUGCCCCGCGCUGCCCCCGGGCUGGAAGAAGGAAGAGGUGAUCCGCAAGUCGGGCCUUAGCGCCGGCAAGAGUGACGUAUACUACUUCAGUCCAAGUGGUAAGAAGUUCAGAAGCAAGCCUCAGUUGGCAAGAUACUUGGGAAACACUGUUGAUCUCAGCAGUUUUGACUUCAGAACGGGAAAGAUGAUGCCCAGUAAAUUGCAGAAGAACAAACAGAGACUAAGGAAUGAUUCUCUCAAUCAAAAUAAGGGAAAACCAGACUUAAAUACAGCUUUACCAAUCAGACAAACUGCAUCAAUUUUCAAACAACCAGUCACCAAAGUUACUAAUCAUCCUAGUAACAAAGUACGGUCUGACUCACAGCGAGUGAUGGAGCAGCCACAACAGCUUUUCUGGGAGAAGAGGCUACAGGGCCUCAGCGCCUCGGAUGUCAGUGAACAAAUCAUAAAAUCCAUGGAGCUACCUAAAGGUCUUCAAGGAGUUGGCCCGGGUAAUAAUGACAAUACCCUGUUAUCAGCUGUUGCUAGUGCUUUGCACACCAGUUCUGCACCAAUCACGGGGCAGCUCUCUGCAGCUGUUGAGAAGAACCCAGCUGUCUGGCUUAAUACAUCUCAGCCUCUCUGCAAAGCUUUCAUAGUCACGGAUGAUGACAUUAGAAAACAAGAAGAGCGGGUGCAACAAGUGCGUAAAAAGCUGGAGGAAGCACUAAUGGCAGACAUUUUGUCACGAGCAGCUGAUACAACAAAAGAUAUAGAUGUAAAAAUGGAUAAUAGAGAUGAAGUAUAAAAAGCAAUCAGGUACAGUGGAGAUAACUUUUACACAACUAUGAAUACUUUGUUCAGGUAACUUGUAGACAUAGAAUGGAAGUUUCCAGGCUGUGACCUGUUUAGCAAGGCUGUUGAACAUUCAAACCAGCAUUCAACCCAUAGCAUAGAGGGGUAAUUCCAUGUCAUUUUGGUUCCCUGCUAUAAGAAAAAUAUAAGCCUGGUGCACUCAGCAGCCAGAUGUUGGUUUUGCACUCAGUAUCAGGACUGUGCACUAGGUUACCGCUUCCGAUACAAGGGUGUGUUGCUUGAGUAAAAUCUUAUAACUAGGAACAAAAUGUGUUUAAAAUGUUCAGUCACUCUUAUUACUUAUAGUGUCAGUGCCACAUAAAGGAAAACUUGGUCUUUAAAUGUGAACAAAAGCUAUUUCCCAGUGUUGUUUACUGGCAACUUAACAGGCCAGAAAUCUUGAUGAUUUCUGGGCUACUGGAAUCUUUUAAUUACUUUGUUACAGCUAUUUACUAUUAAACUCCUAAUCCCUGAGUAUUUCUCCUAUAAAACUAAUUAUGGAUAACUUUAAAGGAAGAUAAGAAAGAACAUUAGUUUAAGAUGUGACAUUUCAAAUAUUUGCCAUUUUAGAAUCAAAUUGUCAUUUUGAUUUUUUUUAAUUUAGAAUAAAAUAAUUAUUUUCUAAUGGAGUCAUAAAUCUGUUUGUAGAAGUGGUUAUUUUUGCACUGGUACUGUGGUUCUCUGCAAAAAUCAGUUGGAUCAGUAGAACUUGAGUUUCAUCAACUUGUAAACUCAUUCCCUUUUUACAUGUAUGUAGCCAGUGUACAUGUAGACAUGCAUGUGUUGGCUGUGUUCUGUAAAACUGCUUUUUUUUUUUCCCUAGUGGUUUUAAUUAUUGACUUGAACAAGAUUUUUGAGUACUUUUAACUGACUUAUCCCAGGAGGAACUUCCUAAAAGACAGAGGCACUUUCUCCUUCGGUCUUUCGUUAUAAGAAUAAAUGGACCCAUGCACAUUUUUAUAGCUUUCUAAUAUCAUUAAAACCAAUGCCUUUUUUAGACUUCUAUUUUUGAUGUAUAUAUCUUAUUUGAAAAGCAACUUUAUUUUGUGUCCUAUGACUUAAAGUCCUUUUUUAAGUAUUGAAUGUUACCCUUAAUCUAAAGCUGAGCUUUUGAUGCCAGGUUGCAAACUUACUGGAAUUAUAUUGCCUGUACUAAAUAUUUGUUUUUCCUGUGGUUUUUAGUAAGAAUAAAUCAGAAGAACCAAAUAAUUUCCUAAUUAAAGAUUAUUGUGACUCUGUAUAUAAACAGAUUUUUAUACCUAUUGCUGAAAACACCUGUACAUUCUUCUGUUAUCACUGUAAAGAUAAAUAAAUUAUUAUAAUCUA
Pezoporus flaviventris is the source of this 2436-nucleotide RNA transcript. It is a transcript of the gene named methyl-CpG-binding domain protein 2, with no coding region annotated. The transcript is spliced from 8 exons. Lineage: Eukaryota; Metazoa; Chordata; Aves; Psittaciformes; Psittacidae. The record is from RefSeq and is a predicted model, not a curated record.